UACGGAGGGUGUGAGCGUUAAUCGGAAUUACUGGGCGUAAAGCGCACGCAGGCGGUUUGUUAAGCUAGAUGUGAAAGCCCCGGGCUCAACCUGGGAUGGUCAUUUAGAACUGGCAGACUAGAGUCUUGGAGAGGGGAGUGGAAUUCCAGGUGUAGCGGUGAAAUGCGUAGAUAUCUGGAGGAACAUCAGUGGCGAAGGCGACUCCCUGGCCAAAGACUGACGCUCANGUGCGAAAGUGUGGGUAGCGAACAGC
RNAcentral lists this ribosomal RNA (253 nucleotides) under uncultured bacterium. Its description in RNAcentral is "partial 16S ribosomal RNA". It matches the Rfam family "Bacterial small subunit ribosomal RNA", at positions 524 to 776 of the family's 1533-position model. The record is from RNAcentral.